UACGUAGGGUGCAAGCGUUAAUCGGAAUUACUGGGCGUAAAGCGUGCGCAGGCGGUUUUGUAAGUCUGUCGUGAAAGCCCCGGGCUCAACCUGGGAAUUGCGAUGGAGACUGCAAGGCUUGAAUCUGGCAGAGGGGGGUAGAAUUCCACGUGUAGCAGUGAAAUGCGUAGAGAUGUGGAGGAACACCGAUGGCGAAGGCAGCCCCCUGGGUCAAGAUUGACGCUCAUGCACGAAAGCGUGGGGAGCAAAAAGG
RNAcentral lists this ribosomal RNA (253 nucleotides) under uncultured bacterium. RNAcentral describes it as "partial 16S ribosomal RNA". It matches the Rfam family "Bacterial small subunit ribosomal RNA", at positions 524 to 776 of the family's 1533-position model. The record is from RNAcentral.